GCGCAGCAGGCGAGAAACCUCCGCAAUGCUCGAAAGAGCGACGGGGGGACUCCAAGUGCCUACGCUUUGCGUAGGCUUUUCCCAAGCCUAAAAAGCUUGGGGAAUAAGGGCUGGGUAAGACGGGUGCCAGCCGCCGCGGUAAUACCCGCAGCCCGAGUGGUGGCCGCUUUUAUUGGGCCUAAAGCAUCCGUAGCCGGUCUGGUAAAUGCCUGGGUAAAUCGUCUGGCUCAACCAGACGAAUUCCGGGGAGACUGCCAGACUAGGGGACCGGAGGAAGGAGAGGGUACUCCGGGGGUAGGGGUGAAAUCAGCAAGGUGAGUUGUUGACGUAACUUGCCUUGCAAGUCACAAUCCUGUAAUCCUCGGAGGACCACCGGUGGCGAAGGCUCUCUCCUAGGACGGGUCCGACGGUGAGGGACGAAAGCCAGGGGAGCAAACCGGAUUAGAUACCCCUGUAGU
This 458-nucleotide ribosomal RNA is filed under the name uncultured microorganism. RNAcentral describes it as "bacterial SSU rRNA". It matches the Rfam family "Archaeal small subunit ribosomal RNA", at positions 330 to 745 of the family's 1478-position model. The record is from RNAcentral.